Molecule: long non-coding RNA, 32832 nt
Organism: Homo sapiens (human)
Lineage: Eukaryota; Metazoa; Chordata; Mammalia; Primates; Hominidae
Exons: 8
Source: RefSeq, a predicted model, not a curated record
GUAUUUAUAAACACUCUGAACGUGUGUUUUUGUAUGUGUUAUGUACAUACACAUAUAUAUCCACUUGCUCUGUCCACUGAGAAGACUUUGGAGCAGCUAUUCUCCACAAGAAUGGACCCAAGGGUUCUUUGAGAAACACUGCUUUCAGGUCUGGAGCAGGGGAAGUUUGGUGGGUCUAGGUCAUCUUGUGGCAAAAUAAAUAACUCAGACCUUCUUGGAGGUGUUUCCACUGGCUGAACCAUGUUAUCCUUGCAUAUUAAAAUAACUAUGAUUUUAAUAGAUUAUAACCCACUGAUAAAACAAGAAAGCAGGAGUCCAUGGUGAUAUAAUUAACAAGAUAAUUAUAUCACAGGAUAUUUAAAUAGUUUAGAAGUAUAUCAUCACAAAAUAUUAGUUAGAAAGGAAUUUCACAGUGGAGAAAGAUGGGUGGUAGGUCUCAUGUUAAUCUAGUGAUCAAAGUGAAUGCCAUUAUCAAUGAGACAAAUUAAAAUUAUGUCCCAAUUUUAAUACCAGAAAUGUAUAAGAUCAGGUAAAUCCAGAUUGGAGAACAUUACAAAAUAACUGGCCUAUGAUUGGCAAAGCAUCAAGGUCCUCAAAGUCAAGGAGAAAGUGAAAACCUCUUGCAGCCUAAAGGGGACUAGAAAUUCAUAAAAGUAAACACAACACGUGAAUCUGAAUGCUUAGAUCACUUUGCUAUAAGGACACUACUAGGACAACUGGAGAAACUUACUGUUGUCUACAGAUUAGAGAAUUUUAUUAGUGUUAAUUUCCUGAUGUUGAUAGUUAUAUGAUUAUAUAAAAUAAUGUCCUUUUUUUGCUGGAAACAGAAAAUUUGGGAUUGAGGGACAAUGGGACAUGAUAUCAGCAAUUUAUUCUCAAGUGGUUUAGGAAAAUAAAAGAUUUUGUGCUGUACUUCUACAUUUUUUCUUAGUUUAUGAUUAUUUUUAAAAUAUUACAAGAAAUGCCUCUUGAAUUCAGUGUAAGAAAGUGUGAACAAAUUACUUAAAAUAAAUUUCAGAAGUUAUUCCUAUCAUUUUAUCUAAUGAUUAAUUAAUGCAUCUACAAGUGUUGUCUUCAUACAAAUUUUAUUAAGUUAUCCUCUUGUAUAAACCUAGAAAGAGCAAAUUGGAAAUGUUCCUCUUGAAUAUUUUUAGAACUGGCAAGAAUAUUUCUUCAGGUGAUAGAGAAUCAGAACUAUCUGAAAUUCUCUGGAAGCACAUUUUUAAAAAUGUUUACAUCACAUUUUGAUUGGCCAUAUUUUAAAUAAGAAUUCUCAUUAGUAUUCUUAUUUUCUGAUCAUAAUUGAUCCCACUCUUGAUUAGUUAAUAUAAUUCUUUUAAACAUCAACUAUUUUUCUGUGCUGUGAUAACAAGUGAUAGCUUCAGGAUAUAUAUAUAUAUAUAUAUAUAUAUAUAGGAAUACAGGACUUUUAAUUUAUUACUAAAUGGUCCUAAGAUUCUUAUUCUUUUCCUCCCUCCCUUUCCCACACCUUUGCCUCUCCUCGUCAUCCCCCUUCUUUUCCUCUCCUACUCUCUUUUUCUCAUUCAGGAAUAAGAAAAUGCUAAUUAUUGCUACAAAUCUUCAAUACUGUGCUAGAGGACUAACCCCAAAUAAUAAUUUUGAUGAGAAAAAAGAAAGAAGAAUCGUUGGAAAUGAAGAGUCAUCUGUCAUUAUCUGUAGAUGACAAGAUGAUGUAAAUGGAAAAAUCAUGGAAUUUAAUGAACAAGUGUAUAAGAGCAAGAGACUUAAACUAUUACAAAUAAAGGAUUUAGUUUUAUGAGAAGGGCCACUGUGAAUGAUGCCACUCUAGUUUUAGUCUCUUCUUAUCCAGGUGGAAAAAUUAAUUUUAUAUUGAAAAGCCUGGUUGUUUUCAUAAGAAGUCACCUUGUUUUCUUUAGAAAUAAAGCUUCUAUGGAUUUAUGUCAUUAUUUGGAAGAAGUGUCAUUACAGAAAAUAGAAUUGGGCUGGGAGACAAUCAAUUUGCUGUUCCCCCAAACAUCAAUUUUCAGAUAUUCACUUCACUUUUCAUCUUCUUAUGCAAAAUCGUAACACCAGCAGAUUCACAUAUUCAAAUACAUAAAAAUUUAUAUUCUAUAUUUGCAAUGGAGUUCCAUUCUUUUUUUAUUUGUAUGACCUUCUGACUUAUUGAAAUUAUUAUUAUUGUCUUCAUUACUUUCAUGCAUCAUUGAAUGCUUUUUGAACCAUUGGUCCAAAUUUUCAACUAGGAGUAUUAGCUCAGCAUGAUACUUAAAAUAGAAAAUACUAAAUUCACAAUUAUAAGAAAUAUGUUGCAAAUGGUGACAAAUUCAUCAGCAGAGACAAAAAUACAUUAUGUUAACUGAAGAAUAGGCAAGAAGAAUGGCCUGCAACAACUUUUCAGAAGGUGAUGAUUAUUAAACAUGUAACAAGGCUUCCAUGCAAAUCACAUCAUUUGAUAUUAUAAGUUUCUGAAAUGUUUGUUAACAUAAUCACUUCAUUAAUUUUUUCUUUUGAAGCUUCCAUGUUCUUUGCAGGCCCGUUGAAUAACCACUGUGGACCACCAGAUGUCUGUAAAUGUCACUUGAGGAAGCCCUGAUCUAUAAUACAUAUUGAGAAAGGAGAAUUGAGGCAGCAUUUGGGUUAAUUAAAAUUACACUGAAGUGAAAUAGCUAAGCUAAGAGAAGCCACUCACCACUGUCCUGUCUUCAUGCAUAUACUUCUUUCUGCAUAUUAUUAUUAUUAUUAUUUGAAACAGAAUCUCACUCAGGGUAGAGUGCAGUGGCACAGUCUCGGCUCACUGCAACCUCUGCCUCCUGGGUUCAAGCGAUUCUCGUGCCUCAGCCUCCUGAGUAGCAUGGAUUACAGGCACCUGCCACCAUAACUGGCUAAUUUUUGUAUUUUUAGUAGAAACAGGGUUUCACCAUGUUGGCUAGGCUGGUCUGGAGCUUCUAACUUCAAGUGUUCUGCCCACCUCAGUCUCCCAGCGUGAUGGGAUUAUAGGUGUGGGCCACCAUGCCGGUCCCAUGUAUUUCUGUCUGAGUAGAUGCUCAGUGCCAUUUCCUAGCACUGACCUUGGACUUGAUACUUUCUUCUACAUUAUAUUUAGGGCCUUUUUAUAUGGUGUCAAAGUGUGAAAACAUCCAUGAUGAUGAUGGUGCUUUAGAAAUCAUUGGGUUGUUGGUCCUGACCCUCAUGGGACUUUUUCCCAAUAAAGUCCCUUAGAUUUUGUCUGUUUCUCUAUUUUCAAAAGGACACAUUAAUCCUCAGUUUAAGGGAAAUUUUUUAAAAAUAUUUUCCAAAAAAAUUAACUGUUAACUUUUUUGGUUAUUAUAAGAAAGGAAUCUUUCUGAAUUCAUUUAUUAUGAUAUUUGAUGCUUUUAGAUAAAGAAAGCCAACAAAAAACUUCAAAUUGCAUAGAGACAUAUUCAAACAUGGUGGAGUCCUUAGAACAUUUAUAUAGGCAUGUGGCUUUUGAUUUCUGCAUAUUGAAGGCAUUGGACACUUUAACAGUAUAUUUAUUUGGGUAUGAAAAAAAUCACAUAAAAAUGUAUGUAUGUAUAUGAGUGGAGGGAGAGAAACAGGUAGAGACCUGAGAAACUCCUACUUCAUGAUACUCCAAGGAGGAUUCUCUUUGCUCACCUUAUGUUUUCUUGGCUUUGAAAUGGAAAUAUCUGGUAUUUCCAGCUUGGAUGAAAUCACACAAUUCUAAUGAGUUUUCUUGAUACUUGCUCUAACCUGAUUCAGGUCAGCUUAUUGCUUCUUUCUUGUAGUCAAAAAGCAGAGGAACAGGAGGUAAACCUUCCCUUUUUCAUUAAUGUUUCAGUGAGUGAUCUUAACUCAAGCACUUCUAAUUAAAAUGUAAAGAUCAUUAGCAUGCCCCGUUAAUAGAGGUUUUUCUUUCAACUCAGAAUGCUCCGGAUGGAGGUGCCAGGCACACUCCUACACCCACCGGUGCUGAACAAUUGCUGCUCUUGGCAAGGUUUCAGAACAGCUGGGGGUUUCUGUCUGUUACCUGAGCUGCUGGUGACAACUGCAACUUAUGUCAGGCUCAGGGGCAAGGAAACAGGAGGCAGGGCUGGAGGAGCCAGGAGGAGAAAAAAAAACUGCAAAGGCAGCUUUUCCCUUCUUACUGCUAUCAGUCUCUCAGGGUUGGCAUUGCUGAAUGAGAAAGAGGGAGAUAUAUGCUAAUGCUAAUAAGAAAGGCAUUAAAUAAUAUUUUAAAAUUAUUUACUCAAAAAGAAAAAUAAAUUGAGAUGUAUACUCAUAUGGUACAGAUCAUAUUUUUCCUUUUGGGGUUGAAGAAUUCAAAUAUCUAUGUAAUCCCCAAUCAUGCAAAACAUUUCAAUUUGUGAUAUCUUUUCCUGAAGAUUCAUAUUACUUUUGAUUGAUAUUUAAAUUGAGAUAUUAACUGCUAUUUGAUGGUAAGAAAUUUUAAUUGUAAUGGCUACAUUAUUUCAUUUUGAAUAUGAGAAUUUUGAUUAGUUGAAUCUUUAAAGGCCUAUGAUAUAUGUAUGAGAAUUAAAUGGAGAUUUAACCCAACAGCUUGUAAUACUUAUGGCUUAUUUUAUAUGUAUUGGGCUAAUAAGACUAAAUUGAAGAGAUAUAAUAAAGAACAAGUUAAAACGUAGACAGCUAAGCCAAUGUCCUAUUACAUGGCCUUAAUCUUAGGGACAUUAAUGUGGGGAUUUAAGAUAAAUCAGAAAUAAGAAUUAUGUCCAUUGUGUCCUAGUCACUCUAGUAAUUAUAGAAAACUUUUGUUAAUUUCUUGUUUUUAUUUGCUUCUCUAUGCCAUCAUCUCAACUUCUAACCCAUUUCAAUUAAGUUACAAUAUAAUUAGUGUUUCUAUUAAAAUAUUUGGAGGUAAUAGAAUAAAAAUAGUUUCUUCUAUAAUCAGAGUUAUUGUGUUGCCUUCAUUUGGGUUAUUUGUGAUUUCAAAUUUAGUUAGACUCAGUGGCAAGUGCUCAUCAUAUGCACAUUUAUUUUUAUGCCUUUCAUCUUCUUGAUUAAUCAUGUUUGAACUAUUUGAGGAAGAUAUUUGAGCGUUGACUUUAUACUGUGAUUUUAUAGAAAACUCAUCUUAGAUUUAGAAGGUUCGAAGACUUUGAAAACUCAACUAUACAGUGAUGGGAAGUAGACGACUAUUAUACGCUAGCAUACCUGCAAGAAGAAGGUGCUGGGUUUUAGUCUGCAUCAUAAAUUUAAUUUUCAAUCCACACAUGAAUUGUUAUAACUUAAAGCCAUCAAUAGAUUCAUCUACUUACUUUGGCAGAAAGACCGAGUGGUAGAAGUAGAGUUGAAGUCAAGGAAGAAACAUUAUGAAUGACUGUCUUUUAUAAUAAAUACAGAUACUGCUCAGCUUUUCCUUUAGAUAAAAUUAUUGGAAUAUAUUGGGAUAGGCCCAAUUGUUACUUUUUUUUCCCUAAUAGAGAUUAUUUGUUACCUAUAAAUCAAUGGAUUCAAUAGUCAUAGUUUUAUAAUAGUUUAUGAUUUUCAUGUAAGCAUUUACAAAUAAAAAAUAGAUCAUAUGUUUCAUUGUUAAAAUGUCUCAUAUACAAAUACUUACUCAUUUAAAAAUUAUGUGAGCAUCUAAAAUGACCAAGGAAUUAACUCUUAGAUAUUGAGAAUUCACCCAGUAAGCCAAACGUAAAUGUUCUGUGAAAGAAGAGUGAUAUGGUUUGGUUCUGUGUCCCUACCCAAAUCUCAUAUUGUAGCCUCCAUAAUUCCCACAUGUUGUAGGAGAGACCUGGUAGGAGAUAACUGAAUCAUGGGGGGCAGAUCUUUCCUGUGCUGUUUUUGUGGUAGUGAAUAAGUCUCAUGAGACCUGAUGGUUUUAUAAGAAGGAGUUUUCCCACACAAGUUCUUUUUGCCUGUGGCCAUCCAUGUAAGACGUCACUUGCUCCUCCUUGCUUUCCACCAUGAUUGUGAGGCCUUCCCAGUCAUGUGGAACUGUAAGUUUAUUAAACCUCUUUCCCUUGUAAAUUGCCCAGUCUCAGGUAUGUCUCUAUCAGCAGUGUGAAAACGGACUAACACAAAAACCUUGGGAAAAACAAAUUGUCAAUACAUUCCAAGUUGAGCUUAUCAGAGCCCACAAAACUAUAACCCAUUAGAACAGUGAUUUGGAAACUUGAGUGGGCAUCAGAAUCACCUGGACAGCUCAUUGAAUUCAUAUUGCUGCACUCCACCCUCAGAGUUUCUAACAAGUUCCCAGGUGAUGCUUAUGCCGCUGUAUUGGGACCACAUUUUUGAGAACCACUGCAUUAGAUGAUGUCAAUAAAAAUGUUUUAAACAAUUUCUUUGCCUUAUUUUAGAUUCCAAUUGGGCUAAGAUUUUAAUUUUUUCCUGUGAUGCUCACCAGAAAAAAUGACCUUAACAUUUUGUAAUGUCACUACAAGAUGCUGUCUACAAUUAUUUUCACACUUAUUUGGGUUAUAGAUACAUGUCAACCAACAUGCAUGACAUAUAUCUGAUACAUAUAUUUUUAUAAUGAUGUAGUAUCUAUAUCUAUAUCUAUCAUCUAUCUAAGUACAUGUUUAUCUCUAUCAUCUAUCAAAAUAUUAAUUUAUGCUGGAUUUGUUUGAAUUCCAUUAAACUCCUAAAUAGCUUAGUAAUUUUGAAUUUGAAGUUGGGGAUGGUGGUUUGGAAAAGGUUACAAGUUGGUGGAAAAUCUCUAAGGAUUUAAUACCACAGUUCUCUCAAAUUGACCUUAGUGACUCAUCAUUGUCUUUGCAGAGAAAAUUAGUAAAAAAAAAAAAUCAUAGGAGAUCUUAAAAUAUCAAAUGUCUUAAACGAUUCUAUCAUUUUAUGAAAGUGCUUCAUCAGUGAGAUAUUCUAAUCUCUGAGAUUAAUGAUAUUGUAAAAAUAUAAAACUGCAAGUAUAUGUGAAUAGUUACUUUGGAUUGACUUAUGUAUAUAUUUUGUUUCCUUUCCUUUAGAUUACAUACUUUCUCAUCUCCUCAAUCCUAACAGAAUUUUAAACAUAUAGUCAAUAGCAUAAUCCUAAUGUCUGUAAAACUCUGCCUGGCAACUAGGUUGAUGGGAGCAGAUGUUAGGCAAAUAACUGUGGAGCAUCUAUGUGAACUGCCCGCUGUUCCUUGCUUGAGCUCAUACAAGAACUUGUACUCUUUCUCCUUCUUCAGCUCCCACUUGCCUGCACUUGAUGAGAGAUUUAAAAAUCAGGGAGCAUUAUAAGGGGCAGGCUUUUUAGUGGAGGUGUUCCCCUCCCUCCCCUCAGGAGUCUGAGUGACUGCUCUCAGUGGGUGGAGAAUGCCCUGAAUGUGGCCAUACCACCUGCCUCUAUUGCCUUACCUCCACAUCUCCUGUUAUCUUCAGACAAGUUAGGUAAAUAGUUGAGGCUCCAAGUAUUUUUUGGAAGGUUUCCUCUGAUAUUUUUCCAACACAGUUUUGACAUUUGGGGUGUGGCAGAUUAGCAUGUAUUUCUGAAAGUUUAGCAGUUAUGUCUACUAAUAAAUUUUAAAAUCUUUAUUUGAUUGGAAACUACAAGGGUAUUAUGGAAGUGGAAUUAUAGUUGUAUACAUAAAGUGUUGAAGUAUAUUAAGAGGUGGAGGUCAUAUUCACAGGGACUCCAAAAAAGAGUCAAAACAAAAGGUGACACAUGAGCAGGUUGAAACAUCCAUGGGUAAUUACAUAUAGCUAUACAUGUAAAACUUUCAAACAGUAACAUUAUGUAAUUGUAUAUGAAGGCAUUCAGUAUAUAUUUCUCUGAAACUUUCUUUUUUGACUUAAAAUUUUAUCCUGAACAUUUGUCCAUUUUGGUACAUACAGAUGUACUUUGUUCAUUUUAACAGUGAUCUGAUUAUCUGUUUCAUGGUUAAAUUCUGAUUGAUUUAACCAAUAUCCUGUUAAUGGACUUCUACCUCUCCGUUUUACUGCUCUAGCCAAUGAUAUUGCAAUGAAAAUGUGUGUGUGUGUGUGUGUGUGUGUGUUUGUGAAUAUGUGUGUAUACAUGUAGGAGUGUUUUUAUAAGAUGGAUCCUCAAAACUAAAAUUUCUCCGUUGAUAUGUAUGCAUGCAUAUUUGAAAUUUUGAGUUAUUGUUCUAAUUGUCCUUUAAAAUCUUUUUACCAGUCUCACCAACAUUGAAAGUGAAUUUUUUACAACAUCAAGAAUAAUUUUUUUCACUCCCUCAGCUGUUAAUAAGAUAUUAUGAUAAAUGAUGACUGGUAUAGAAUAGCUAUUCCAGUUUAUAUUCAUCUGAUCAAUAUUGAGGUUUUCAUCUCAUGUUUAUUAGUUACUUGCUUUUCGUCCAUAAAUUUCCUCCUUGUACCUGUUGAUUAUAACAAUUCUUUUCCUAAAUAGUAUUCUAACACUUGUAUGGUUUUAUUUUACGCAUUCACAUCACUAAACCCCUGGAAUCUUGGUUUGAAUAAGGGAGGAAGCAGGAAUCUAAGUUUAUUUAUUUUCAAAAAAAAUAGCAAAUUCUUCAAAUACUAUUUAUGGACUAAAUAAUUAGCGUAAUGAUUUGAAUUGCUACUUUCACAACAUAAAAUAUUAUCUUAUGCCUGGGAAGUAUCUGAACAAGAAACUUCAUUGUUGGCCAAUCUUUUUCCUGCCAUGUAUUGUAAGGAAUGCAAAUAACCUACAGAAGAAACAGCAUGUGCAAAGACCUAGAGGCAUCAGUAAUGUGCUUUGGAAAAUUUGGAAUUUUUAGCGUAGCUGGAACUUUAAGUUUAGGAAAAAGAUUACAAACAUUAUUAGAAAGUCCAUAACAAAAUCAAUGAAAAACAUACCGUAAUUAAAAUACAACUCUGCAACAGAAGCAUGACAUUUAUUUAUUCUGAUUUGUUUUAGAUAAUCUAUACCAGGGACCUAUUUCAGCCCUUUCUUAUUUUUUAUAGAAGGUCAAUAUGUUUAAGUACAGUGCUUUAAGAAGCCUUUCCCUUUUACUCAUUAUUAUUAUUAGCAUUUUAAAGUAAGCAAUGUUAUCAUUUAUAUUUCUAUAGUUUCCAUCUUUCUUCUGGGAAGAGGAAAUGCUGAGGGAAAAAAAUGCACUGAGAGCUCAGUAUUUGCAUCAACUCUUCCCAAAUUUCUGUUUUAAUUUUCUGCUGAGAAAACUCUUUUCAAACUUCUCUUUUCCUCUCUCUCUCUCUCUCUCUUUUUUUUUUUUUUUUUUUUUGUCCAAACAGAACCUAAACAUAAGAUUACGUGACAGUGGGAGGUAGGGCAUACAAGCAGACAGACUGUGUAUAUUAGAGUUUUUGUUACUAUUUUUUUCAUCUUCAAUGUUGAUUUUUUUGUAAGGCAAAUACAGUGUCCUCUGUGCUGAAACAUAUCCAAAUGUUGCCUAUUUUUAUUAGAUCUUUCAAUUAUGGUUAUGAACUCUAAUUCAAGGUAAAUAAACACCCAUAAAUAAAUCUAGGCACUUAUAGUCAACUCAUUUUCACAAAGGCCUCAAGAACAUACACUGGGGGAAAGGACAAUAUAUUAAAUAAAUGGUGCAGGAAAAAUUGGUUAUUCAUCUGUAGAAGAACAAAAGUACAUCCGUAUCUUUCACCAUAUGCAAAAGUUAAGUGAAAAUGGACUAAAGUCUUAAAUCUAAGACCUGAAACUAUGAAAAUACUAGAAGAAAACACUGGGGAAGCACUCCAGGACAUUAGUUUGGGCAGAGAUUUCUUGCAUAAGACCUCAAAAAUACAGGCAACCAAAGCAAAAAUGGACAAAUGGGAUCACAACAAGUUAAAAAGCUUUUGCACAAAAAAGGAAACAAUCAACGAAAUGAAGAGACAACUUACCGAAUGGGAUAAAAUGUUUUCAAACUAUUCAUAUGACAAGGGAUUAAUAACCAGAAUACACAAGGAGCUUGAACUCCUCAAUCAGAAAAAAACACAAAUAAUUCAAUUAAAAUAGGGGCGAAAGAUCUAAGUAGACAUUUCUCAAAAGAAGUUAUACAAAUGGCAUAUAGGUAUAUAAAAAAUUAUCAGCAUCACUAAUCAUCAGAGAAUACAAAUGAAAACUACAAUGAACUAUCAUCUUACUCCAGUUGAAAUGACUUUUAUCCAAAAGACAGACAAUAAGAAAUGCUGGUAAGGAUGUGAAGCAAAGGAAACCCCUGUACAUUGUUGGUGGGAAUGUACAUAGAACAGCCAUUAUGGAAAACAAUAUGGAGGGUCCUCACAAAAACUAAAAAUAGAAAUACCAUGUGAUCCAGCAAUCCCACUGCUGGGUAUAUAUCUAAAAGAAAGAAAAUCAAGACAUUGAAGCGAUAUCUAUGUGCCCAUGUUUAUUGUAGUGCCAUUUACAAUAGCCAAGAUAUGGAAUUCACCUAAGUGUCCGUUAACAGAUAAGUGAAUGAAGAAAAUGUGAUAUAUAUACACACAAUGGAAUAUUAUCCAGCUAUAAAAAGAAUGAAAUCCUAUCAUUUGCCACAAUGUGGAUGGAACUGGGGGAUAUUAUGUUAAGUGAAAUAAGCCAGACACAGAAAGACAAAUAUUGCAUAUUCUUACUCAUAUGUGGGAGCUAAAUAAAAAGAGAAAAAAAAUAUCAUGGAGACAGAGAGUAGAAUGAUGUUUACCAGAAGCUGGGAAGGAGGGAAUAGAGAGAGACUGGUUAAUGGGUACAAAAAUAUAGUUAGAUAGAAGGAAUAAGAUUCAGUAUUUGGUACCACAAUAAGGUGACUAUAGUUAACAAUAAUGUAUGUGUAUUUCAAAAUAACCAGAAGAGUGGAAUUGGAAUGUUCCUAACACAAAGAAAUAAUACAUGCUUGACAUGAUGGAUACUGUAAUUACCCUGAUUUGAUCAUUACACAUUGUAUGCUUGUAUCAAAAUAUUGCAUUUGCCGUAUAAAUAUGUACAACUAUUAUUUAAUUAAAAAAAAACAAAAAACCCAAUUACACUUUUAUGUGGUUAGAAUACUGUCUCUUUUUAUUCUCUUUUCCCAUUUCCUGCCUAUCAUGUAUUCAGAUAGCUGCAGGCAAGAAAAACAUCUUCAAAAGUUAUUUUGACUGAAAUUAGCAUCAUUUUUAAGAUUUAAUCAUUAAGAUGUAAUUAAAGUGCCAUCAUGUGUACUUUUAAAUUGCUGAUUGAAAUCCACGUCUCAAUGUAACCUUUUUCUAAACAUCAUACCUCUCUAUACCAAACCCAAAAGCCCCACAUUGUUUUAGAUUUACUAAUACAAUCAACAUACUAUUCUACAACUCCAAAAUAUUCAUUGAAAGCAAUUUAAUCCUUGUUGUUGUUGUUGUUGAAUGGUUGCAUGUUUAAGGGUAUUUCUUUUCUAAUAUUGCGUGCAGAUAUUGUACUGAAACUAUGAGAAAAUAGGGCAAGGAGUGUAAGAGAAUGCUGUUUAUAAUGAUUUGUGGCACUCAGAGCCUUACAUUGGGAUAUAAUGCUAAAUUGACUUUUGCAGAAAUACACAACUUGUUGUGAAGCUUUGGACAUUUUCCAUAACCAGUGGUGCCAGAUCCUGGAGGGGCUGGGCAGUCUGGGCAAAGACAAAGUAAACAAGUCAGUAGAAAAAACAAUGAUUAGAAAGACUGACCUCUGAACCAUAACAUCUCUGAGCUCCCAAAAAGGUCAACCUAAGUUUGGCAAAUACUUCAAUCCUCCUGGUGACAUAUAACCUUGGAUGUUGAUCACUCAAACUUUUAUUGUUGUUUAUAUCUAGAAGCGCAAGUUCUGGGAGGAUGCCAAAAGUUUUGUGGUUAUGAUGUGUGGGGUAUAUUAGUUGGCAUUGCUGGCUUGGGAAAUCUAUUGUUCUGAAGUGGAAAACCUGCUUGUUUAACAUUCUCUCUUCCCAUUCUGGAAAAAAAAGUGUGACUAAUUUUUUUCCAGAAACUAUAUAUAUAUAUAUUUUUUUUUUUUUCUAGUAGACUUGGAAAGGAAAUCAGAGAGUGGUUCUCUCAGUACUGAGGUGCCCAGACAAGACAAUGGCACAGUUGAAAUAAAAAACUGCAGAAAGACUGAUGACAAUCACUUACUUAAGCACCGAAUACUGGAGUUGUAGCUUAGGUUGAAGGUUUGAAGGUGUCUGACACUGCCUUUUUUACCUUUAUUUUUAUUAAGAGAAGGCAAAUAGGCUGUGAUGUUUCUUUUUUUCUAAAGAAGUAUUAGAACCUUGUUAAUUAUGGUAGAGUGAACAUGGGCAGGAAAAGGAAAAUAUAAUUUUAAGUAUAAUGGUGCAUGCUGGAAACACAGAUUGGCAAGCAUAUGGGAUUCUGGCAUCUGGACAGAAGCCUUCAUUACCACCUGCUUCUCAGAGGUUACUUUGGCAAUUUUUGCAGCAAUUCCAGUGAUUCACAGGUCUGGGCUAACAAUUUUUAGCAAGCAGCUAAAGAGGGCACAGGAACAUAGAGGCAGUUACUCAGAGCUUCUGUCCACACAUUGGUUUCAUCUUCCUGGGUAUUAUGUCACUUUAAGAUAAUCUAUGUGCCACUAUUUCAUUGUGAUAGCAGCAGAUGUUACUUCAUGCUAAUAUUUUUUACCUGCUUUAUUCACCAGGUGACACUCAGUUUUACCUUGGGAAUGAAUUAUCUCUUCUGGUUCCAUGAGAUGUGAGGAAUAUGUGAAAAGACUUGAGUUCUUGUGUGUUCUGAAGUGUGAAGACCUAACUGGUUACCUCCAGCUCUCCUUGACUUUCUCAUUCUUCCUAAUGUUCCUGGGAAUUUUAGAAAUUCCUGCAUGUUUUCAAUUCUGAAUAGUGCCGCAAUAAACAUAUGUGUGCAUGUGUCUUUAUAGCAGCAUGAUUUAUAAUCCUUUGGGUAUAUACCCAGUAAUGGGAUGGCUGGGUCAAAUAGUAUUUCUAGUUCUAGAUCCUUGAGGAAUCGCCACACUGUCUUCCACAAUGGUUGAACUAGUUUACAGUCCCACCAACAGUGUAAAAGUGUUCCUAUUUCUCCACAUCCUCUCCAGCACCUGUUGUUCCCUGACUUUUUAAUGAUCGCCAUUCUAACUGGUGUGAGAUGGUAUCUCAUUGUGGUUUUGAUUUGCAUUUCUCUGAUGGCCAGUGAUGAUGAGCAUUUUUUCAUGUGUCUUUUGGCUACAUAAAUGUCUUCUUUUGAGAAGUGUCUGUUCAUAUCCUUUGCCCACUUGUUGAUAGGGCUGUUUGUUUUUUUCUUGUAAAUUUGUUUGAGUUCUUUGUAGAUUCUGGAUAUUAGCCCUUUGUCAGAUGAGUAGAUUGCAAAAAUUUUCUCCCAUUCUGUAGGUUGCCUGUUCACUCUGAUGGUAGUUUCUUUUGCAACCCAAAUGUCCAACAAUGAUAGACUGGAUUAAGAAAAUGUGGCACAUAUGCACCAUGGAAUACUAUGCAGCCAUAAAGAAUGAUGAGUUCGUGUCCUUUGUAGGGACAUGGAUGAAGCUGGAAACCAUCAUUCUCAGCAAACUAUUGCAAGGACAAAAAAACCAAACACCGCAUGUUCUCACUCAUAGGUGGGAAUUGAACAAUGAGAACACAUGGACACAGGAAGGGGAACAUCACACACUGGAGCCUGUUGUGGGGUGGGGGGAGCGGGUAGAGAUAGCAUUAGGAGAUAUACCUAAUGUAAAUGAUGAGUUAAUGGGUGCAGCAUACCAACAUGGCACAUGUAUACAUAUGUAACAAACCUGCACAUUGUGCACAUGUACCCUAAAACUUAAAGUAUAAUAAAAAAGUUUUAAAAAAAGAAAUUUAUAAAUGUGACUAAAUCCAGCUAAUGGAUUGAAAAAAAGAAUAAGGUUUCAAAAAAAAAAAAAAGAAAGAUAUUCCUGCAUGUUUUCUAGUAACUAGGGUGGUGUCAUAUAAUAUUCUACUAAAAACUCAUGUGAACAGUCAUUUAACUCAGGACCACUAUGGUUAAUUAUAAAGUAAAAUAUUGACUAGCAUAAUGCAUUUUAGAUUAAAACUUUAUAACAAAUUUUUAUUAUCAAAUACUACUUGUUGAGUAUUUAUAAUGGGUCAGAUAAUGGAAUAAACAUUUUAAAUGUAAAAGAUUGUUAAUACAAAGAUGUAAAUGGAAGAGCUUGUGGGUGAGAAUAAAAAUGGUACAGUCCUCUCAGAAGGGCCAUUUGUUGGUGUUAUCAGCAUCCUAAAUGCAUGUGUCCUGUAAUGGCUCACCUCUUCCUUGUUGCUUUACUAGAACUACAUUCUAUCUAUGCUGUAGAAAUAUUACCAUAUACACAUAAGGCUGUAUAUGGUAAUUGUAAGAUUGUUUGUAAUAAAUAAAAAUCAAAAGCAACCUAAAUGUCAAUUAAUAGGAAAACUGUUAUGUAUGUUUUGGAAAUGCCAUACAUUUCCAAAAUAUCAUAUGGAUAUGAUAUGGAAUAUCAUAGAACGAUUUUGAAAUGUGAGACAGAUCUCUAAGGACUGAUGCGGAAAAAUGUUCAUGGCCAACUUUUUAAGUUUAAAAAACACACCCUUAUUUUUGAAGUGUAUGUAGAGCAUAUUCCUAUGUUUUUGUUAAAGAAACCCUCAUAUAUAUAUAUAUAUAUAUAUAUAUAUAUAUAUAUAUAUAUAUAUAAAAUUAAAUCUGUAAGUGCAUGUAAGUCAUGUAUUAUGAACUGAGUGAAUAUUUGUGUCUCUCCAAAAUUUAUAUGUUGAAGACCUAACCCCCUUUGGGAGAUAAUUAGGGUUAGAUGAGAUCAUGAGGAUGGAGUCCCUUGAUGGGAUUAGGGCCCCUAUAAGAAAAGGAUGAGACUAGAGCUCUCUCUUUCUAUCAUAUGAGGGAAGCAAGAAGGCAGCCUUCUGCAAGCCAGGAAGAGAGCCUUUAUCAGAAUUCAACCAUGCUGGCACCCUGCCUUCAGAACUGUGAGAAAUAAAUGAGUGUUGUUUAAGCUACCCAGUCUAUAGUUUUUUUUAAUAGCAACCUGAGCUGAUGAAGACAAUAUAGGAUUCCGGAUAGACUCUAUUGCAUGACUAUCUGUAAGAUGAGGUGGGAAGAGGGAGAAAUUCUCCCUUUUCCAGCAUACACUUCUUUAUUGUUUGAAUAUUUGUCAAGUACACAUUACUUUUAUAGUUGAAGAUUGGGAGGAGGGAAGGAGGGGAGGAAAGAAGGAAGGAAGAAAGGAAGAAAGAAAAAAGGAAAACUACCACUCUGAAGGCCCAAAGUCCACAUUGCUUUUUCAUGAAUUAUUCUGUUUACCAUUUGCAGAAUAUUAAGUUACCAAUUCUAAAGCCACUUCCUCCUUGGAUGACCUUAAGGGGAAAAAAGAAAAAAGAUACCCUCACAUCCUCAGCUCCUCCUAUAAAAUAAAUGGGCUUUACAGAAGAGACUAUUAUGUUUUGUGAAGUAUUUUCAAAUAUAUCGUUGAAGGAAACUUAAACAGAAUAUUAAGUUGGAAUUGGAUUGCAUUCCCCUUUGAAGGAUUAGGUUCUAAAGUCAUGCCUUUCCUGUCUACUAUGUCCUUUUUUGUUUUCUUCUACAUUAGAACCUAGUUGGAGUCCUCUAACGUGCUUAUUUUUCUAUUAAGCAGAGCCAUCAGAGUUCACCUGUUCCCUAUUGUCUCAAAGUGUUUGCCCUUCAUUUUUCCUUUAGACUAUAUAUAGACUGUUUAAUUUUGGUUUGGAUCUUUAGAGAAAUUCCAAGAGACACUCUUGGUUCUAAAACAUAUAGAGAGGCUGGGUCUUCAGAAGUUUUCUCGUGGUUUUGGUGAAGGCUAUAAAUGAAUGAUUUAUUUAUAGAUAAAUAAAUCCAUCCAAGAUGGUUUGCAGAUUGAUCACAUGAAAAGUUGAAAGAAAGAAAAACAAAUCACAAUAUCAGACCUUAACUAACUCAAGUCCACAAAUUGCAAUUUUGAGGGGAUCGUGUAUAAAAAUCUCUUUUAAGCAAAAUUGCUCAAGUAAUUCUUGUGUAUCUUACUGAAGACUAAUAGUUGGAAAUAAAUUAUCUGGUAUUGAUCACAAAAGCCCAUGAAUGAGACCACAAAGGCAAAUAUUUCUGACUUUCUGGUGAAGCUCAUAUUGGCAUGCAAGCUUUGUCCAUAAAAUGUGUCCCUUGCUUAUGAUAGGAUGUAGGGGUUAUGAGUAAGACAAAUGCCAGAUGUGGGGAAGGAUGUUCAAGUGUUGCAAUGGGAGAGAAAGUUUUGGCUUAAGAAAAUCUAUAGAGUACCCUUCUCUCAAACAGAGGUACCAAUAUUAUCUGUUCUCAUACUUUGGUGAGCAUCAUAAGACUAAUCACAUUUUAUAAAUUCUGUGAGUCAGAUGUGCCCCUUUCUUUGGGCUCUCAGAGAUCUCAGGCUGUUGCAGGGAUUUCUGUUAGUGGUUUUGAACAGCUCUUAAACAAAAAUCAGGUUCCCUGAUUCUAAGUAAUUUUUAUCUGUAAUGGAUUAUUAGAGCUACAAAGAAAUGCUCAACAAAACCUCCUAUCCUUAGGGAUUUACAAAUAGUGGAAGUGGUAUAAGAUGGUGAAUGUCAGAAAAAGAAAUUGUGGUUUAUUUAUUACAGUAAACCUCAAAUUCAUUUUCAGUUAUCAAAAAACUACAGAGGAAGAGUCUAUGUCAUAUAAACAGAUAUUUAUUUUUCUAUUUUAAAAAGUUGUUUUAGGGAAAAUUCCAAACAUACUCAAAAGUUGAGAGAAUAAUGCCAUGAAGUUGAGUACCUGUUACCCAACUUCAUUAAUUAACAACACUCUGUCAUUUGUUUCCAUUUUUGCCCAAUUUUUUUUUUUGGAGUAUUUUAAGGAAACCCCAACAUAAUAUUGCCUUACCCAUAAAUAUUUCACUGUAAAAAAGACAUUGAAAACAAAGAUUAACCAAAAAAUAUGACUGUAUAUACAUAACAAAGUUUCAUCUACUGACUUAUUAUUUGAAACCUCAAAUUGUUUUAUAUUUUAUAUGUUGCCUCUACUUUAAAGUGAACAACAUAAGAUUAUCAUAAGAACCAUUAAUAAAAUAAGCUCUAAGAUAAUUUGUAAACUAAUAGAUGUUAAAGCCUCUUAAAAAGCAAAAUUAUACUCUAUAAAUGUUUACUUUUUAAACAGUUGUUUGUUUUUAAAAAAAUAAUACAGUCAUGACACAACAUACACAUUUUUAAAUUACUGCUGUUCAUUAGCCAAGAAAUAGUCAAGAACAUUCAAAAUAAUUUUAAAUAUUUGCUUAUACUAUCCAUAAUCAAGAAAAAUAUAGAGUUAUCCAUAAGAUAAUUACAUUCAUUUAUUUUUUGUAAUUCUCUUACCCAGUAAAGUCCUCAAAAAUAUGAAAGGUGCUUAUUGGGUUUCAUCCACUGAAUUGUAGUUCUAAUUAAUAAUGCAUUAACAAUCAGUUCAGUACUGAAAACUCUGUUUCAAAGUAGAUGCUGACUAUUGUGUUUCUCAUUCAUCUACUCAUUUAGUUUAGAGAAGACUGACAGACUCAGCAACCCACUUGCAAAUAUUGGUACUUUCUUGUUUUUUCCCAUACUUAAAUGCAGUUCUCAAAUGCUGACUUGUUCCAAGUCUUCUAGCCUGCAGUGAUGACUUUGACCAUUUGGAUUUAAAUAAAGCUGCUUCAACUCCCAUAAUGAGACUAGGAAACCCUGUGAGAAAUUCCUUUUCCAUCUCAAUAUUUCAGGGGAUCUUUGUGGGAUUAAAAUUCAUUAUUAUGUCCUCUUGUUCUACUUCUCUGUGUCUACUGAGCUCCCAACUUUUGAGCAUUCUGUUAUUUUGCUGCCUACCAUUAUCCCAUACUGGAUACUGUCCAGAUCGUUUCACCUUCCAAAGGACCAUUCUCACAAGACUGCAUGAUCAGGCAACUUUUACUGGUGUUUUGGGAGUAAUUCAAGAAUAAUUAUUUUAUAACUGCCAUGAUUGCCUUUGGCACAUCCCUGUCCCCUGCACACCUACAGAUGGCCAGCUCCACCCACAGAUGGCCGUGGCAUUCAGUUACUUUGCUGGGCAUUUCCCUCUCCCUCUCUUGCCUAGAUCCUUUAUUGUGUCCCUGCCCUUGAAACUUAAAUUUCUUACCUUCUCUGCUGAAUCAUUCAGUUCUCUUUGACUAACUUAUCUGAUUGAGAGACUGUGCCUGAGUGCUUCACCUUUCGUAUUUGGAAAACAGUUUUUCUAAACCCACAGCAUAUCAUAGGGAGAAAAACAUGUCAUUCUCCCAGGAGAUGGGGACUCUAGUCAGGUGCAGCUCAGGUGCACCUUUACAUGGCAGUUUUUGCCUUCUUGGCUACAGAUAUUCUCAUCUUUAUUUUUCUCUCUUCUCUCUCCCUUCUUUAUUCAUCUCUCUCUUUAUCAAACCACUCAUCCAUAUACACAGUAUAACUAUAUGUUUGAGUAAGGGCAAACUCACAUACACAUAACCCUUCCUUGACUGUUCCUGAGCUCGCUUCUCCAGAAAGCACAUAGGAAAAUAUGGUGUGGGCAAGUUAGGCUUCCUUGUAAAUGUGGGAAAAUUCUUGUAUGGGUUGCUUCCCACAUAUGCCCCUCUGGAUGAUAAAGUAGAUGGAUUCUAUGAAAAUUGUUUCAUUGCUGGGAAGCCAGUAAAUUUUCAGAAGCCUUCACAGGAUGAUAGAGUCUGGAGACAGAGCAACAGAGAGAACCCAAAACAGACAUCCCUUUACAACAUGACCACUUUACUUUUGCUUUGUUUACAUAUUCUAAGACUGUAAGCUUAUGUUUUUGUUAGCGAGCCAACUUAAUUUUUUAAUAGUCUUAUCAAAAUUUGAUUCUACAGCAUCCACUCAUUGGCUUUGGGUCUAUUCUCUGGAGUCUUACAAAAUAAGUUUAUUCAUUCUUUCAAAGAACAGCCUUUCAAAUAUUUGAAAACAAUUCUAAUUUCCCCAUAAAGUCAUCUCUUCUCAGGCUAAAUAUCUUUUGUUUCUUCAACAAUUCCUUCUAUUUUGUAUCUUCCAGACCCCUUACCUUCCCUAUUGUAUUACUUUGGAGUCAUUCCAUUUUGUCACUAUACACUCUCAAAAUGCCUUAUCUAGCAGAAUAACUUGUACAAAACAGAUGGAUAAAUGCCGAGAGAAUUUAAUUUAACCAAACAUCAUACUAUAUCCAGUGCUGGGUCCAUCUUUCAUCUGGACAUUACACUUUUAUUAAUACAACAUAAGAUUGCAUUAGCUUUAUUAUAAAUCACAUUGACUUAUAAUGUAAUAUCUCCUGACAUUUUUCUUAUAAUCUUACAUUCCUUCGUUUGCAUUUGGUUAUCUGAUUUCCUGAAUCUAAAUGCAAAAAUUUAAGUUUAUGCUUAUAUAUUUCAUUUUGUUGGCUUUAUCCCAUCUUUUCACCCUUUCAAAACCUCAGAAUUUCAAUCUCAUUAUCAAAAAUAUCAGCUUUUCCAACAUUAAUUGAGUCAUAUAUAAAUGCAUUGGGUUUAGGUUUACCUUUUGUCUCUAUCCAAGGGUUUGAUUGUUAAGGUAAAAGUUCAUUGCAGUUAUGGACUUGUUACUCUUUCUUUGCUUCUGGCUCUGGCUGGCAUUUUAGGACCACAUGCCUUUUGGGAAGAUUGCAGGAUAUGUAUCAGAUCUGAUCAUACACAAGCAUCGUCAGCCACCAUGUGGCAUCCGUGGAGUUGUCCUCCCAGCUUCCCACCUCUGUGUGUCUUUUAAGCAUCCACAUACACAGAUUCUCACUUCUUCUGUCACUCAGUACCCCGAAGAGCACGGCCACUGCCAUCUGUUUCCAGGCACCAGGCCUGGAUGUUGCUGUGGUUGAAGCCUAUAAUUUUCCCAUGCUGUGGUCUCUCCCAGGCUCUCCUGCUACUGCUAUUUCCCUGAAUCACCCAGGGUGCCAAAGCUCUGAGUGUUCAGCAGCAAAGUAGAGGGAGAAUAUCGGCUUCUAAUUUGAGUGUUUUGUGUACCCUCUCAUUUGACAAUAUUUUUGUAAAAAUUGCUUGUAUUAGUUUUUGUUUUUCAUUGUGAUAAUGCUGUCCCACAGACAAUACCAACAUAUGUGUGUUUUACAAAAAUCAGCAUUUAAUUUUGACGAUGGAUUUAUGGAUUGGCUAUGGCUCUGCUGGACUCGGGUGGAUGGACUGAGCUUGUAGGCUGCAGGUUGCAUUCAGAUUAAUCCAUAAAUCAUCUACUUCGGCUUCAACAGUUACUUGGGGAGCACCUGUGGGCAUCUUUCCUCAACGCCCGGACUACAAAUCUCUAACACGGUCCUUACAUAAGAGUCCUCAACUACAGUGAGAGGGGCCAGAGCUGAGACUGGGCAUCUUGGGAUCUGUUGUGGAAUGGACACUGGCUUUAGGGGCUGCUUUCUGGCUUUAAAAAUAUUGCACUGGAAUAGAACCAAGGAUCAAAUAUCUGGGACAUGAUAUCUUGAGUAAAACAGGAAAUGUCUGCUACAGAGACAAACUGAAGUUUGUGUAUAUCGUGCUGAUUCAGAAGAGAAUGAAGGCAUUUGUCAAGAGAUAAUGUCAGACUAAUCAGACAUGUUCCAAUCGAUUAAUGCAUUUGGAGGAUUUCCAAAUAUUUGCUGAUCUAAGGACGGUGAGGUAUAUGAUGGGAAACAAAUCUGAGAAAAGAAGGAUGGUAGAUGCUUUCCCAUUGUGACCUGUGAUCAUUUUGGUAAGAACACUUUACUCAAUUAAGAGGCGAUCAAGUGAUUCCAGGCCUGCUGCUAAAUAAUUAUGAGAUGAUAUUUGGAAAUAUGUAUUUCUCCUUUACCUCCUGAAGCCACAGGUAUGUGCCUGAGGUUCUCAACAAAUGGCUGAUUAUCUCUCAGAAUAUUCAGUUGUCUGGUAGCUGGCACUAAUAGCUCAGAAUAAGCUAUAUUUAACUUCAGGAUCCAUCUGGACUCUUGGCCACUAGUGGUAGGUAAUACUAGUUGCCGAAUUCAGUUUCUCUGAGCCUGUGAAAACUGCCUGAUUUUAUUUCAAAUUCAUUUUGCAUCCUGUGGGAUGGAUUUGAGAUCAGGGCAAAAUAUUCAACCUUAUUUUUGUUAAUCUUGCCCCAAAUAUGAUCCAGAUUAACCUUUCUUAACACAAAUUUGCAUUUUUUACAAAUAUCAUUUUUAGUGAAAUUAAAAUCUAUGAUUAUUAACGUUAAUAUUGUGCAAGUAGCAUUUGUAAUAUAAAGUUUUCAAAAAAGGAAGAUAAUUUUAUUUACUGGAGACUUAUUUUGCCAUUUUCAACUUGGAAGCCCAGGACUCAAACAAAAGUAUUGUUUGAAAACUGUUGGGGUUGAUUAUUACUUAUGCCGGAAGUUUCAAAAAAAAUUUUUAGAAAAAAAGAAAGCUGUCUUGUUCUAAUAAUUUGAAAUUUUAACAGUUAAAUUAUUGCUAAAUUUGCAUAAGAUUUGCUCUGUAAGACAAUACUUUUUAUAAUUGUUAACAUGUAGUUGUUUUACUUAUUUGUGCAUACUAGGUUAAUAUAUACAUAGUCAUAUUAAUAUAUGUUUGUAUGUAUACAUACUUAAAUAUAAAUUUUAUUUUUUAAAUGCACGAUUUAAGAUUUUGUCAUAAAUUGUUAUAAAUUGUUUUGUGGAGUUUAUGCAUUUUGUAAAUUUGAUGGUGGCAGAUGGUGUACAUGUGAGUUAAUUGAAUAGAUCUUUCAUAGUCUGGCACUUUUUAUGCUUUUAGAAUUUGGAGAAGUUAGUCUUUACUGAUGAAUAGAGAGCUAUCGUACUUUAGAAACUAUUGAGCAAACAUAAAAUUUUAAGAACAACUUAUUUUUAUCCUAUGGAUUUUCCUAUUAUAUUUAAACUUGCUCUUUUAGUUUGUUUUUAGAGCUCUCCUCAAGAAACAUACUCUUUGUUUUUAACGCUCAAUCCUUUUUUAUUCUUUGUAGAAACUAGUGGUCUCCUAUUAAGUAAAUAGAUGUGGGUCUCAUUAGAGGGAUCCAUUCUAAAACAGAAGAGGACAACACUCAGGGAGGGCUGCAAUGAGACAGAGAAUCCUGAGAUUGUUCCUCAUGUGCAGAUCUUCACCUGGGGCUGCAGAAGACUGUACAGCUAUAGACAAAAUAAUGAUAAGGUACAGAUGUCGUGGAAAGCCAGAACAUAGGAGUGAAUCCAUCCUACAGUCUGAAGGCGGAAACAAAGCCAUAAAUGGGGUUGGGGGAGAAACCCUGUGGUAAGAAUCUGUAGAGAUGAGGAAAAAAUUGUAGGAUUUAAGGUAGGUUAGGAACUGGCAGUUCAGAGCAAUGCCAGGGUAUUAGAAACUCACUCUCGUGUCAUCUAAGUUUCCCAAUAUAGGAUUGAGUGGACCUCAUCAUAUUAGCCACAUUCAAGGAAUAUAUGUAUGUUAUAGAAGUCAAUGGUUACAUUAAAAUAUUAAGUUUGAACACAAGUUCUAAUUUAUUUUUAUCAUUAUUUCUUAAUAGCAAUUAAUUCUUUGGGGCUUCAAUUACUGACUGUAUUCCAAACGGUUACCAACAGUUCACUUCUUUUAUUGCAGAACUUACACCAUUUCCAAAUAACCAAUGUAAAUUUUUACCUCGGAUAUUAUUUUGUUACCCGCAAACAACAAAUGUGAAUUUAGAUUUAUCAUCUUCGUCGGGGACUGAAUUUCCCCUGUAAUAUUGUUUUUUGUUGAUUUGUUUGUUUUGUAGUGGCAUCCCCUGCCCCUAUGUACCUAUGUUUGAUUUAUCUUUUAUUUCCUUCUUUUAUACUUAAACCUUAAGGUGGAUUGGAAAGUUGAUAUCAGUGACACAAAGUUUAGUUGAUUGGGUACUUUACAUUUCUACUUGACUUUGUACAUUUCUGAUUUAUAUGAACAACAAGCAACUCAGACUAAGCCUCCUUCAUUGCCCUAAGAGGUCUACUAUAUUUCUAGUGAUUUUACCUAGGGGAUCUAUACAUGUACUAACAGUAGAAAUUAGAGGUGCAACACUACUGGCCAGAAUAUAGCAACAUCCUAAGUACAUUAAUAAUGUGUAAAGUGCCCAGCAUGUAAGGCACAAAUAAAAAUAGGGAAUGUCAUUUUAUUAAAUUAUCAGAAGUUAUGGGUCACAUUCAAACAGAAAUAUUCUAAGAAAUUCAAUUCUAAGAAAUUCAACUUACUUUUAAUGUCAAUGUUUCUGAAAUUGGUAAACAUCAUUGACGUCAAAAAGCCUUCUAUGCAUGAAAUAAAUUAUACUUGUCAUUUCUGAGCUUAUGGUAACAUGGUCAAGAAUUAAAGGUAUAUUCAUCUGACUUCUGUUUCAUCAGGCUGCUAUUUGAGAAGGGUUAUUUGCCUUAGUACCAUCAGCAGUGGUUGAAUUUUAUAUUUGGUUCUGCAUUUGUCAUUUAAAAUGUCCACAAAAAGAUAACCCCCUUAAGGAGCAUUAGAACUAGAAGUUACUGUGAACCUAGACGAUCGCCUGUUUUUUGCCAUCUAGCAUAAUGAAGGUCGUAGUAUUGCCAAAGUUUUUCGAAUUCACUGUAGUUUUUUCAAAACUAGAUAAAAACUCUGACCAAUUUUUGAGUCCUGGGGGACUAUCACUUCAGCCAUAAACACAAACAAGUUAACUAGAAUUUAACGAAAUAGUAAAUGGAGAAAAAAAUUCUAGAAUUACCUGAUUUGUUUCUAAAUUAUACUGUUGCUCCUAAAAAUGUUAAGAAAUUAGGGUCGUGAGCACUGUUGGUCACUAUGAUGAUAUGCUUACCCACUGAUGGUCAAAAUUUAUCAGAAGAAUUUUUAGAUUUGGACUAUGUCAUGGCUUAGAUGCUGAUACUGAUGAAUAAAGUGACAUGCAAUUUUAUGGAUAAAUGAAUGUUACUGUUAAGUAGUUUUUAAAUAUGUACAUUUUAAUAUAAUGUAUUUCCUCAAAAUGCUAUUCUCAAUUUGAUGAUAUGCCUUGAAAAUCAAUACUGUUUUAGGAAGAAGGAAAUGUGGUAAAUUAAUGGUGUCAUUAGAAGAACGGAGGUUGCCAUAGAACCUCAUUUGCUUUACUCUUAGGAUGUAACUUUUAAAUUUAUUCUUAUUUGAAUUUUCUUAUCUUCCAUACUGAACAGGAAGCUUAUUGAAUGAACAAACCAUGAGUACAAUUAGCAUAUACCUAAAUUGAUUUGCAGUGAAAAGGUGCUUCAUAAAUUCUUGUUUGCCUGAAGAAAUUAGGAGGCAAAGGAGCAUCAAAACAAAAGGGAAAAUAAGAAUUAAAGUGAGAUGCUGUAUCAGAGGCCAAGUAAAGAUGCUGGUCUGCCUAAUCUGACUUUCUGACACUGAGAGGCAAACCUCCAAAAUUUCCACCUAUCUACAUACAUUCAUUCACUCACUCACCCAGUCUCUAUACAUUAGGAAGUCAUUGCUUUAUGUUAACCCUUGGUUUUGAAAAAGAAUGCAAAAUUAAAUGAAGAAUAAACUCUGUUUAAAAGGGAGGGUUUGUUUGACAGGCAUAUGUAUAAACACUGGAAAUUAUGAGAGUACAGAGGGUUUCCAAUUUUCCACAUACAGAAAGAGUACUAAAAAAUGGUGGUGUGUUCAGAGUAAUGGCAAACUUAAUUUAAUUUCAUGCCUUCAAGCAAUAUUACUUUAUUUAUUGAGAAUUUUAACACAAAGCAAUCAUUUGUAUAUCACGGAUACCCAGAAAGAAUAAAUAUUGUGGUUCUAAUUCCUACACUUUGAUUUAUUAGUCUUUAGUUUAUUUGAAUGUCAUGUCACAGAGUACAGCUAAUAAAAGCAUGAACAUUUGUCUUUGAGCAAGUUUGAUCUGAGGUGAGUAACAUUAAACAAUAGCCUAUUGACAAGCAAUUAAACACCACUUCUUUUCUUAGGAGUGUUUUGAAUUACAUUUGUUCUAACUAGUGGCAGCAUCUUUUGUGUUUAGAAUUCCAAUAUAAUCUUAGAUGAGAAGAAUCUUUUAAUUAGAUUUUCAAUAGAAUCGGCCAAGACCCACUGCUCACCAUCUUGACUCUUUGUCUUCAUUGAUUUGGACCAAAACAAAACAAAGAUAAAUAGCAAAAUUCAUUAUCAAUGUUUAUUUCAACUGUCUAUUGUCAUUUCCUCAGGGUAUACAACACAGUUUUCCGCAGACAGAAUGCUGUGUUUCUUACUUUUAGCUUUAGAGCUGUAUAUUCAACAAUUCUGUGUCAUGGAAGAACCUAGCUGAGGCAAAAAAAAGAAAAAGGUAAUUUUCUUCUUCCAUUUACACGUAAAAUGUUUAUUUGAAGAAUAAGAAAUAAGCAAAGAGACAGGAGAAGGAAAUUGUGUUUCUUUCAGCAAGUAAAAAGAAAGGCAAAACCCAAAAUAAAUAAUAUGUAAUUAUUUUUUAUCUGACUAUUUUUUGGCAUUUGUUUCUGCAUUUCUAAAUAAUGGAACUAUAAUACAUUUUCACUAUUGGUCAAUUUUAGGUAUCAUUUACUUACUACCUAUAAUAAAAGUUAAAAUUGUAGCUAUGAAAGGACCCCUUUAAUGCUAAAAAUAUCACAGGAAAUAUUUGCAUUACCUAAGUCAAUACGUAAGUCAGCCAGGAAGAACAUUUACAAGACAAAGUUGAUCAUGAUACUCUCUUGUAAGUGAAGAUGCUAUUAUUUUAUAACCUAGAUGUGAGGAUCUGAAAGUUGUUAAAUAAAGGCUCCAUAUGAGCUCUUGUACUCUGUAAAAUGUCCUCUUAAGUUAGCUUUAGCUAAACUAACAUACUGCCAGGGAACAGUGUUAAUGUGUUUAAUUACCAAGCUCUUUCCAAGAAAGCCUUGUCACUUGUUCACUGGUCUUAUUGCCACUUUCUGUCUUCACUCUACUUCUACCUUUCCACAAACACAUCAGUACAGAUAUUUGCAUGUUUUGCACUUCUCCACAGUUUGUACUAGUUUCUAGAAGAAAUUUUUUACUGUCAAUUAAGGCAAUGCUUUAUUCACAUGUGGCUGCCACUAGAGAAAUGUCUUAAAUUAACAAAGAAAUAAAUCCAUUAAAAAAAAUGUUUCUCUGUUGCCUGUGCCUUUUGUGAAACCCCAAUUCACAUGCUCACUAACUUUUAAAAUCAUAUAAAAUUUUAAGAGCAAAAGAAUUUUAUUACAGUGUGAUGCAGGGUUAACCGUUUUGAAAUGAUACUUAUACUGCCUAAAUUAUACCUGGUCAUCCAAGUAGAAACUAACAAUGAUUGGGUAAUAAACAGAUGGAAACCAGGUUGCUAAGGAAAAGGAACAGGAAAUGAACUCCCUAAUUAGAUAACAAAGGUUUUGUCUACAUAAUGCCAAAAUAACUAAUUUAAUAUUUUGAAUCAGUUAGAUUGGGUUUUAUCAUGUAAGCAAAACAGAGAACUGAUUCCCUGAUGCUUUCGUUCUAUCUUCAGUUGUUUGUGGCAUUAUAGAGACAACACUUACGUAUGUUUCAAGCUACUUUACCUUUGUAUUUCAGGCCACAUUUCCUAGGGAGACUGUCUAAGGGAAAAUGAUUUUCUCUUUAGUUAUGAGACAAAGCCUAUACCUACAAAUUAGUUUGAUCACUUUGGUUGAGUUUACUAGUAAAGAGCCCUCCUAAAUAGUUUACAUGAUAUGUGUCUACACGUGUGUAUCUGAUUUGCCAAAAUUGAAAUAUUUUGUACAUGGCAAAUACGUUCUUUAAAUGUGUAAGCAAAUAGGUUUAUUUUAGUCAACAAUUGAUGACAGGAUAGAAAAAUAACCAGAAAUGUGGAUCCAGCUCUUAUCAUAGAAAAUUUGUACUCCUGUAGAUUCCAUGACAUCCUCACCUCCUGGUUUAUCUUUGACCUUUCUUUUGGAAUUUCUAAGGGUAGGCAUUGAAGUCUUCCAUUAGUCCUUGAAAACUCAGUCAUUACUCCUUUAAGUAUUGUCUCCCCUUUAUUAUCUCUCUCUCUCUCUCCUUCUGGGACUCCGAUUAGUUACAUACUAGGCCUCCCGACAUGUUCUCCCAGUCUCUUAGCCUCUUUCUCAUAUUUUCUAUCUCCUUAUCCCUCUAUGCUACAUUCUGAUUAAUUUCCUCAGAUGUAUCUUCGAGGUAAUUAGUUUUUUUUUCAUCCAUAUUGGUUGAAUCUACCAUUAAAUCUAUUUAUUCAGGAUUAUUUAUAAUUUUUAGUUUUUAUUUUUAUCUAAUUAAUAAGUGUGAAUUAAAAAAUCAAAUGAUUCUACAAACUAUGCAAUUCUUAGAACCUCUCUCCUUUUAUUUCUUCAUCCUGAGAAAUAAUUUUUUUGUUCUUUUAUCUGAUUAUUUUGGCGUUUGUCUCAGCAUUUCUAAAUAAUAGGACUAUAAUACAUUUUUAUUAUUGGUCAGUUUUAGGUAUCAUUUACUGACUUCCUAUAAUAACAGUUAAAAUUUAGUUAUUAAAGUAUCAUUUUAAUGUGGAAACUCAUAAACUUCAGUUGUGGGCACUAUUCUGAAAUUAUUUAAAUGAUUACUUCCUCUCAAUUUUCUCUGUUCUCUCUUUUUAGAACUUCCAUCUGGAAGUUAUAUCUCCAGCAUUCAUUUUCUAAUACUUUUUACACUUAUUAUUUUUUGCUUUACUUUCUGGAACAUUUUCUUGACUCUAUCUUUUAGCACUUCUCCAAAGUUUUUCAUUACUGCUAUUAUAUUUUUAAUUACUGAGAUCUUUUUAUUCCCUUAAGUAUUCCUUUUUAUAGCACUGUGUUCUUACUUUAUGGUUUGCCAUCUUUCCUUUUUUCUUUAAGGAUACUAAUUGUUGUAUUAAAGAGUUUUAUUUCCAUGUAUCCUCUCUACAGCCUGCAAAGCACUUGUUCUUAUACGUUUUCUUUCAUCUCUAUAUCUCUUGUUAGAGGUUUCCCCUAGAUGUGUGCUCAUUUGUUGUUGUCUGCACAUGAUUAAGAGUAGUGGAAUCCUCUGAGGCCUGUUGACAAUAAGCCUCAUUGUAGGAUGAUGUGGCUGGAGCUUUCAUUUGGCAAACUUCUGAUAUCAGAAUCUUAGGUCUUUCAUUUGAGGCUGUCAUAUUUCCACAUUUGUCUGGAGAGUAAAGACCUAAUUGACAGCAUUCUUAGAGCCAGUUAGGGUAAGAGAGGUAGAGUUUUUGGUGGGGGAGUUAGAAGGGGCUUCUUCACUUUGUUGCUUAUUUCCUUUGCUGUGCAGAAGCUUUUUAACUCAAUGCGAUCCCAUUUAUCCUUUUUUCUUUGGCUGCCUAUGCUUGUGGGUAUUGCUCAAGAAAUUUUUGCCCAAUGUCUUGAAUAUUUUCUCCAUUGUUUUCUUGUAAUAAUUUCAUAGUCUGAGGUCUUAGAUUUAAGUCUUUAACUCAUUUUUGAUUUGACUUUUGUAUAUGGUAAGAAAUAGGGGUCUAGCUUCAUUCUUUUAAAUGUGGAUGUCCCGUUUUCCCAGCACCAUUUAUUGAAAAUACUGUUCUUUCUCCAGUAUAUGUUCCUGGCAACUUUGUCAGAAAGGAGUUCACUGUAGAUGUAUGGAUUUGUUUCUGGGAUCUCUGUUCUAUUUCAUUGGUCUAUGUGUGUAUUUUAUGCCAGUAACAAGCUGUUUUAGUUAUAAUAGAUAGCUCUGUAUUAAAAUUUGAAGCCAGGUAAUAUGAUUCCUCCAGUUUUGUUCUUUUUCCAGCUUUGGUUAUUCUGAGUCUUUUGUGGCUCCAUAUAAAAUUUAAGAUUGUUUAUGUCUGUGAAGGAUGCCGUUGGUAUUUUGACAGGGAUUGAAUUGAAUCUAUAGAUUGCCUUUAGUAGUACGGACAUUUUAACAAUAUUGAAUCUUCCAAUUCAUGAACAUGGAAUAUCUUUCCAGUUUUUGUGUGUCCUCUUCAGUUUCCUGAAUUAAUGUUUUAUAGUUUUUAUUGUAGAUAUAUUUCGCUUCUUGGGUUAGGUUUAUUCCUAGGUUUUUUUUCAUCUGUAGCUAUUGCAAAUGAGAUUAAAUGGCACAUAUACACUAUGGAAUACUAUGCAGCCAUAAAAAAGAAUGAGUUCAUAUCCUUUUCAGGGACAUGGAUGGAGCUGGAAACCAUCAUUCUCAGCAAACUAACACAGGAACAGAAAACCAAACAUCGCAUGUUCUCACUCAUGAGAGUUGAACAAGGAGAACACAUGGACACAGGGAAGGUAACAUCACACACCAGGGCCUGUUGGGGGGUGGGGGCAAGGUGGGGGAAACCAUUAGGACAAAUACCUAAUGCAUGUGGGGCUUAAAACCUAGAUUACAGGUUGACAGGUGACAGGUUGACAGGUGAAACAAACCACCAUGGCACACAUAUACCUAUGUAACAAACCUACACAUUCUGCGCAUGUAUCCCAGAACUUAGAGUAAAGUAAAAAAAAAAAAAAAAAGAUUUAAAAAUUAUCUAGCAUUGUAGGUUGCUUUCAAGUCGGAGGAUCAAUCAUGAUAUCUAACCAGUUAAUUAUUUUCUUACCUUUGCUGUUUUCUCUUAAAGAUAUGAGAUGUAAAGAUGCCAGUUUUCCUUUCUCUUAUUGUUUUCUCCCCUUUCCAGGAAUAUUAUCCAUAUCAAUAAGCUUUCCAAGUAUAUAUGUUCAUAAGGACUUCCAGUUAUGUGUCUGUAGCUCGGAUCUUGUAAUUCAGCUCCAGUCCAUCUCUUCCAGGGUGUCCAGGACAUUUUUAUUUAGUCCUCUUAAUAACAUCAAACAGGAGAAGAUUUUGUGUUGAUGCUAUUGUUUAUUGUCUUGUAUUUAUUUUUUAUUUUUCCCAGAAAGAGUUCCUCUUUCUGCGUUCCUUGUCUCGGAUAAUCUACCCAGUUUCAAAAACCAGACUCACUGUAGGCCUAGUGAAUUUUACUUUUUCCUUCAAUAUCCACAUUCAAUUAAUCACUAAAUCCUGAUGAUUCUACCUUCUUAUUAGCCCUCCUUUCUUUUGCUUAUCUCUCCAUUUCUUUAGCCACAUUUUGAAAAGCCAAUUAAAUUUUAUUAACUGCCUUUCCUUUUCUUAUCUAAAUUUUCACCAUCUCUUCCUUCAUGAAGCUGACAGGUGCAAACUUUAUAAAGUACGUACUUAGUAUUCUUUUUUUUUAAAUUAUUAAAGGCUUUCCUGUGGCUUCCAAUUACCUUCAAAGAAAACCCUGCCUUUUUUUUUAGAAUGGUACUCAAAAUACUCUUUAAUGUGGCUUUGACAUUUUAGUCUCAUAUUCUUAAAAUAUAGAUGUUCUAAGUUCUAGUGAUAGUAAACCAUCUACAUUUUUUCAUAUCCGCAUCUUUGUUCACACAUUUGCAUGCUUCUGUAUGCCCCCCUACCCAUACAACUCUUGGCAUUCCUUGACAAGGUUCUUCCUCUUCUUUCUGCUGCUACUGAACUGUGUUAUGUUCCUCUAUUGAUUCAGCUAUUGCACUGUAAUUGUUUGCUUAAAAUUUUUCCUCAUCUAUUCAAAUACAAACUACUUGGACUAUACCUUUUUUUUCCUUUAUUUUUUUUCUCAUGAAGUUCCUGACACAUAGCAGGCACUCAAUAAAUUUUGAAUUUAUGAAUGAAUGAAUUUAUUAGAAAGUUUGGAACAGAACUAUGUCUCCAGACUUUUCAUUUUGCUUUUAACUGUGUAAUGUGAACCAAAUUUAAUAAAAAAGAAUCACUUUUUUAUAGAAAUGCUUUCCAUGUCCUAAAAAUUACAAAGCUCUUUUGGAAAGUUCUGAUCUCACAAUAUCAUAACCUCAUGGCUGGAAGGGAGCCUAGAUAGGGCAUUUAACCCUCCCUUCUAACCAGACUGGGAGUUACUGCUCAAUUUUUCUGACAUGUGUUUUUCCAGAUUGUAUUUGGAUAACUUCAGGCAUUGUGAAAAUGAGGAAACCAUGGAGCUUGUUCUUUCUAUCUUUGUAAAAUGAUGACCAUGCAAAAGGUCUCUUUUUACACUAAAUCUGAAUCUCUCUCUACAAGUUUCACACACUGACCUUAGGAAAACCCCAAAGGCAAAACACAACACAUUUAUGACCUCUUCCAUAAAACAAUCUUCAAGAAUUUGAAGACAGGUUAUGUUCCUUACCAAGUCUUCUCUAUCUCAGCUUAAAAUAUACAAAAUGCUUUCAAUUUCCUUCAUAGCAUCUCCUUAUGCUUUUCCCCACUACCUCUCUUUUUGAAUCUACAAGGACACUCUAUUAAAUGGAACUCAAGCUUCUUGGCUGAUUUAAAUGGAAUUAACUGGAUUCUCACAUUACUAUUUCUAAAUUAGGUUUUAUUAUGAUAAAAGCUCAUUCUCUCUAUAUUUAUCAUUAUUGUUAUUUUUAUCCUAUAAAACUAAUUACCUUAUUAUUAUAUAAAUUAAAACAACAUAGAGUUGUAAACAUAAUGUAUGUGCUUCAUAAUUCUAGCUUCUGGGCAUUACCAUUGUUAAUAGUUUUGUAUAUGAUCAUAUACCACAUGACAACAAUUUUGUCAAAGAAGGACUGCAUAUACUAUGGUGAUCUCAUAAGAUUAUAAUGGAGCUGAAAAAUUUCCAUCACCUAGUGAGGUCGUGGUCAUCAUAAUAUUGUAGCGAAAUGCAUUAUUUACAUAUUUGUGGUGAUGCUACUGUAAGCAAACCUACUGUAUAGCCAGUUAUAAAGUCCUGGCACAUGCAAUUAUGUACAUUACAUUAUACUUGAUAAUGAUAAUAAAUCACUAAGAUAAUGGUUUAUGUAUUUACUAUACUAUCUGUUAUUAUUUUAGAGUGCAUGCCUACUUAUAAAAAUGUUAACUGUAAAACAUCCUCAGGUAGGUCCUUUUAGGAGGUCUUGUUAUCAUAGGAGAUGACGGUUCCAUUUGUGUUAUUGCCCCUGAAGACAAUCAGGACAAGAUGUGGAGGUGGAAGACAGUGAUGUUAAUGCUCCUGACACCUGGGCAACUUCCAGUCCUGCAAGCUCUGUUCAUGGCUUGAAAGAAAAGGUCAAGUGUGGUGGCUCAUACCUGUAAUCCCAACAUGUUGGGGGGCAGAGGCGAGAGGACCACUUGAGACCAGGAGUUUGAGACCAGCCUGGGCAACAUAGCAAGGACCUGUGCCUACAAAGAAACAAAAUAAAUAAAUGAAUAAAAAGACUAUUCAAAUGAUGGAUAGUUUGGUUUUAAAAUAUGAAAAGAACCCAUAGAAACUCAAAUGAAGAAAGAGAAUCUCAGGAAACAAAGUUUAGCUUGGCAAUAAUUGAACCAAAAUCACUGGGGAUCCAUUCUUUCUCUUUUAUUUUGUAGAUGAGUUAUCUUGCAUAUAUUUCUGCAUAUUGCUUUACUUUUCUUUGCUGCAGCCUCACUUCCAACAUGAAAAUCUUAGAAUUGGCACCCUUAUAAUAUUGGUUUCCACAUAGUAUGUGGUUAAAAUGUCAUGAACUCUGACAUUAAUUAUCUGUUGUAUCUCCAGAGACUAAAUCAGUUUAUUUGAUUCUGUUUUUUAAAAUUAAUUUGUUUGUACAGUUUAUGGAGGUAUAAUUGACAUUCUAUAAAUGGCUAAUAUCUCAUAGUACAAUUUGGUAAAACAUAAUCUAUUUGUACCCCAGUAAAACCACCACCAUAAUGGAGAUAAUGAAUAUGUGCAUUAUCCUCAAAGCUUUCCUCAUGCCCUUUUAUAACCUCUUGCUUCCAGCUCUCACCUCUCUGGAUUCGUCUCUGGCAAUCUUUAUCUGCUCUCACGAUGCAUGACUGAAUUUUAUAUAAGUGAAAUCAUAUGUUUGCCUAAUUUCUUUCAUUCAUUUAACUAUUUUAACAUUCACCCAUAUAAAUGUGUAUAUCAUUAUUUAAUGCCUUUUUAACUGCUGAGAAAUACUGUAUUUUAUAGAUAUACCUCAAUUUGUUUAUCCAUUCACAUUUAGGCAAUUGGACAUUUGGGACAUUUAGGUUGUUUCUAGUUUCGAGUCUUUAAAGAUGAUGUUAAUGAUGUUACUGUGAGCAUUUAUGUACAAGUCCAUGUAUAAACAUAUGUGUUUUAAUUUGAUAAACACCUAAAAAUGGGAUGACAGAGUCAAAUGGUAGGCUUAUGUUUAACUUCUUAAGAAACUACCACAUUUUUGUUCAAAAGCAACUAUCAGAUUUUACAUUCCUGCCUGCAGUAAAUGAGAGUUCUAGUUUUUUGAUGUUUACAAUACUUGGUAAGGUCAGUCUUAAAAUUUUAGUCACUCUUACUGGUGUGUGUACUAGUAUUUCUGUGUGUUUUUUAACUUGUGAUGUUCAGAAACUGUUUCUAUGGUGAUUUACUAUGUGUACAUCUUUAUUAAAAUGGAUCUGUUCACA